AAUCCUUUAACAAGGACCUAUUGGAGGGCAAGUCUGGUGCCAGCAGCCGCGGUAACUCCAGCUCCAAUAGCGUAUAUUAAAGUUGUUGCGGUUAAAACGUUCGUAGUUGAACUUGUGCUUCAUACGGGUAGUAUAACUAUAAUUGUAGUCUGUACUAUACCUUAUGUAUGUAAGCGUAUUACCGGUGGAGUUUUUAUAUACAUUAAAUACUUGUAUUUAUAUGUAUUCCUCCUAUUUAAACCUGCUUCAGUGCUCUUCAUUGCGUGCUGUUGUAGGCCGGUACAAUUACUUUGAACAAAUUAGAGUGCUUAAAGCAGGCUCCAAAUGCCUGAAUAUUUUGUGCAUGGAAUAAUGAAAUAAGACCUCUGUUCUACUUUCAUUGGUUUUUAGAUCAAGAGGUAAUGAUUAAUAGAAGCAGUUUGGGGGCAUUAGUAUUACGACGCGAGAGGUGAAAUUCUUGGACCGCCGUAAGACUAACUUAAUCGAAAGCAUUGCCAAAGAUGUUUUCAUUAAUCAAGAACGAAAGUUAGAGGUUCGAAGGCGAUCAGAUACCGCCCUAGUUCUAACCAUAAACGAUGCCAGCUUAGCAAUUGGGUGUAGCUACUAUUAUGGCUCUCUCAGUCGCUUCCCGGGAAACCAAAGCUUUUGGGCUCCGGGGGAAGUAUGGUUGCAAAGCUGAAACUUAAAGGAAUUGACGGAAGGGCACCACCAGGAGUGGAGCCUGCGGCUUAAUUUGACCCAACACGGGAAAACUUACCAGGUCCGAACAUAAGCGUGUAAGACAGAUUGAUAGCUCUUUCUCGAAUCUAUGGGUGGUGGUGCAUGGCCGUUCUUAGUUCGUGGAGUGAUUUGUCUAGUUAAUUCCGAUAACGAACGAGACUCAAAUAUAUUAAAUAGAUGCUUUCAGGAUUAUGGUGUUUGAAGCUUUUAUAGCCUUCAUUCAUGAAUGCAGUAACAUGUGUGAGUGUUUGAAUGUGUUUAUAAAGGUGGAGCCGUACCUGUUGGUUUGUCCCAUUAUAAGGACACUAGCUUCUUAAAUGGACAAAUUGCGUCUAGCAAUAAUGAGAUUGAGCAAUAACAGGUCUGUGAUGCCCUUAGAUGUCCUGGGCUGCACGCGUGCUACAAUGAAAGUAUCAACGUGUAUUUCCUAGACCGAGAGGUCCGGGUAAACCGCUGAACCACUUUCAUGCUUGGGAUUGUGAACUGAAACUGUUCACAUGAACUUGGAAUUCCCAGUAAGUGUGAGUCAUUAACUCGCAUUGAUUACGUCCCUGCCCUUUGUACACACCGCCCGUCGCUACUACCGAUUGAAUUAUUUAGUGAGGUCUCCGGACGUGAUCACUGUAACGCCUUGCGUGUUACGGAUGUUUCGCAAAAGUUGACCGAACUUGAUUAUUUAGAGGAAGUAAAAGUC
This 1414-nucleotide ribosomal RNA is filed under the name metagenome. Its description in RNAcentral is "SSU rRNA". It matches the Rfam family "Eukaryotic small subunit ribosomal RNA", at positions 528 to 1790 of the family's 1831-position model. The record is from RNAcentral.